GACCUUUUUAACAACUCCUGUGAAGGUGGUUUACUUUUUAUCACCUAAUGUGAUCUGAGAUUGGACAUCCAUGCUGCCAUUUUCUGUCUAUACAAUGACAUCUGCACUGUAGAUGUACGAUUGCAAUCACGACCGAAUGGCCAUUUGACUGAGAUAGAUGUAUUUCCCUUCUCCAUUCUGAGGCAGUCUAAAUUGAAUGUGUUAAUAAGAAGAGAUCUUAUCUGCUUGUAUUGCGCAGGGACGUGUAGGACGGUUCAUGGACUCCUGACAGGAAGGCCCAUUGUGUUCGGCCACACCACAAGAUGUGAUGAGAUCGUAUUCAGUCCUGUGCACAGUGCUGGUGAACUCUGAACGAGUGUCAGGAGUGUGUUAUCUGUGACAGACUGCUUUUUCUACAGGUUAGACCACAAAGGCAGAUAAAAGACGAGGCACCGGGGCAGACAGGGAUGCUUUCACUUUUUCUGGCUGGGUUUAUUGAUCAUUGGACAUCAUGCAGAGCUCAACAUCUUUCUGAGAGUGAUUGGGUGGCAGGCCAACAGGUGCCUGUUAGACAGCUGAAUAAUUUAAAAACAGUCCAUGAAAGACUCUGUUGUACCGAUGACUGCGCUUGAGAAUCGAAAAUACCAAUCAUUUCUCUGGGUGGCUCAAGUCAUUCUCCCCACCGGACUCCCUAGGAUUAAAUUGAUUUUUACCUCCUUUUUUUCACCCUCCCUUCUCCCUAAAAUUGCAAUUUGCUGGUUCAGAUGGAUUACAAAGAGGAAAAUCACCACUGGAGAGAGACAGGAUCCACGCUUACCCACUAGGCACGGCAAUAAGAACUGGAGCGCACAACAAAGAGUUGAGCGAAAUGAGCUGCGUGAUGGACAGCACACGCCUGCUCAACGGGACAAAAGCCUUCAUAAUGACCAGUUGACAGGCAGACGCCAUUACCACACACACAAAGCCGUGAUAAGAUAAAACAGAUCUGUAACUGUCCUGUCAUAGAAACCAGCCCAUUGUGGGCUGAAAAUGAUAAGAUUUCUUCCCCUGCUACUCUCCACUCAUCCUCACCCUCAACACCCGCAAACGAAUGCAGUUUUUCUGUUUUUUCACCCUUCUUUUGUGUGGCUUGGGAAAGGCAGCUGCUUUUCUUUUCUCCUUCCUCCCAUGUUGGAAAAGAAAGCGCGAGGAUUGAAAUAGCGCACAGAAAUAGAAAUGGGCCUUAAACUGCUUUUACAAAAAGAGACAAAGCUGGAGAACGUCUGUUGUUUCCUUAUUCAUUAUGAUUACAGUAUAAUUCAAGACUGACUGACCAUCUCCCACCUUUUCACGAUCCUUCUUGUUUCAUGCGCUUUUGUGUGCUCUCAAUGACAAACUAACACUAAAACACACUAAUAGAAUCAUUUCUACACAUUCAUGCUGAUAUCUGAAUGCUGCUGGCAUCUUUGAGUCUUUAGUUGGGUAUUCCAACAAGACACAGUUUUAUAAAGAGAAUAAAAAGCCCAUCUGGACAAACACGAUCGUCCAAGAAAGACAGGCGGUCGUUGUCUGGCAUCUUUGAAAGGUUCAGCUGCAUAUGCUUUCAGACUGCUACUGUCAAAGACUUGGCCUGACCCCUCGCUUGAUGAGUCACCUACUGGCUUUUUAACCAGCUUGCGUUCUUCAGUGGCCACACUCACAUCAGCCUGGAGUGUCUGUGUCUGUGCUUUAUACAAGGAAUUCAAUUCAAACCUCUUUUAUAUUCAAAGUACUCUCUGAGACCAUUAGAUACAACAAUACAAAUUGCCUAAAUAAAUAGUAUUUUACUGUGUGCAUGAAAACUGUAUUACUGUUUAAAGUAAGUAGACACAAUUACCUCUUAAAUUUACAGAAGUUACUUAGUGAGUGAUUCUCAUGUUUUUAUUUUGUUGUUUGAUUAACAUUAUUAGCCUAAUAUAAGAAAUGCAUGGAUCC
Molecule: long non-coding RNA, 1932 nt
Organism: Cyprinus carpio carpio
Lineage: Eukaryota; Metazoa; Chordata; Actinopteri; Cypriniformes; Cyprinidae
Source: Ensembl